This 6505-nucleotide long non-coding RNA is filed under the name Coffea arabica (coffee). Its description in RNAcentral is "long non-coding RNA (CARA_LNC008220)". The record is from RNAcentral. Lineage: Eukaryota; Viridiplantae; Streptophyta; Magnoliopsida; Gentianales; Rubiaceae.
UCAACGAAGGUAGGUUCUCGUGGCAGGAUACACUUGCUCGAAGUUCACCACUUAGCUGAUUUUUGGCAAGAUUUAUGGAUUCAAUUGAUGGCAAAGAAAACAGAAUGAAGGAAUUGGUCCUUGAAGUUUAUUAGAUGAGAUAUCAAGUAUUUGAAGACGAUUAAACUUAAUGAAAUCUGGAGGAAUUUGGAUCUCAAAGCCAUGCUCCUAAGAUUGAUACGUACCAGGUUGUUGCCUAAAGAAGGAAACUUAGGUCCAAGAGGAUUGUUACUGAUAUCUAGCUCUUCAAGCUGUGAUAGGCCUUUCAGAUCUGGAAUACUUCCAUUUAACAGAUUAUCAGCCAAAACAAGACUUUUCAGGUUCUUGAAAGUGGCAAUCUCUGGGGGAUGCCACCCUGAAUGAAGUUGGAACUAAUGUUUAGCACCUCAGAGAAUCAAGCCUAUCAACCUUGGCAGGUAAUGGUCCCCAUAUUCCCAGGGAUACUAAUGACAGCCUUUUCAGAUUGGAAAGCUUAGUUAUGACUGUAAAGAAUGAAUCAAUUGAAAAUCCCUGGGACAGAGUUCUGUGAGGUAUGGAAAAGUUUGCAGCAGAUGGUUUUGGAACCUUUGAAGGGCUGCUUUUAUUUCCAACAAUAGUUAACUCAGUAAUGUGAUUACCUGAGCACAAGAUGACUAAAGAAGGUGACUGAGGGAGAGAACAAAAGUUUGUCCAGUUAUUCCAUCCUUUAAGAACGUCUGGAUAUUCAAGAAAUUGUUGAACUCGGUAAAGGAUUCUUGUUUCUGCAGGAACUAGCUGUGCACUAGGAGCAUGAACAAGCAGGAGUAGGAACAAAGACAGCAAGAAACUGUACCCAAUACGAAAAACCUCCAUUUCUUGGGAAAUGAAGUGCUAAUCAACCCACUGCAAAACCUCAAAUUUCUUCCACAGUAAUAUGCCAACAAGAAUUUAGCUAAAUCCUAGUUUACAUGUAGCACUCUGAGGUGGAACUGCAAGCAGAGCAGUUAAAGAAAGCAAAAGCAUGAGAUCCUAGUUUACAUGUAGUAUAUUCAAAGUUUAACUAAAGAAGCAUUAGGACCGAAUCAUACUCUAUAUUCUGCAAGAUUGCAAGAAAGAUUUAACGAAGAGAAUGAUUAAAGAAUUAAUGAAAAACUACAGAAUUGUCCUCUCUAGUUGUACUAGAAAAGAUUCUCUGGAAGAGGAGGAGAUGGCAGUUGGAGGAAGAACAUGGUGGGAAGUGCUUUCAAGAACUUCAAAAUGUGAAGGAAAAAUUUAAUGGGGUGGAUAGAGUCAGAGAUCUGAGGUCGAAGGGAUUGAAGUUUCCAUGCAAGUUAAGGUAAUGAGGCCAAUAAUGUGGUGGUUUCGCACUCAUUGAGGCUGACUGAAAGACAGGGAACCCCAUUCCCAUUCCCUUUCCUGGUCCUGCGCUAACAACAUGACAAUUGCUUUAUUAAAUUGCCAUUGCCAGUAAUAUUUAAGCCAAAGAUUUGCAUAUAUAGCUUGACGGCUGUGAACUUGUGUGAUGCAAAAGUCAACAGUAGCACUGAAUUCAAAGACUGCUAAUAAUAAUGCAUCCAUUUGACUGAUUGAAUGUGCUUAGACUCACUCAACUCUGAAGCUCAAGAAAAGGUAUCCCAAUUGUCACUAGUGACAGCCCACAGGCACGUGCAGUUUUCUAUGAAGUUUCACAGUUCGCUUUUUUUUUUUUUUUUUUUUUUAUUAAUUUCCUUCUUCAUGAGAGGUUUCUCUCACGAUAUGCUUGAAAUAGGACAAGAAUACGGUAGCGGUACACCUGGAUGAUAAUGGGGCAGGAGAUCUUUUUUUAUCCCAUGAUCUAAUUAUCAUAAAUCAGUUCUAAUUAGAAUAAAAGUAUUAAUUAGUUAUGUAUAAUUGCAAUUAAUUGAUUUUGUAUAUAAUUUUAUUAUGUUAUAACAGCGUGUAUAUAGGAUGUUAAUUUCAUCUUUUCUUUUAGUCUUUUCUAUGUUAUGUUAGGCUAAACUACUAGUCGUAGUAGGAGUACCAUUAGUAGUGUCGUGGUGAUGACAUUAGUAAAUAAAGGGCAUCAUUGGACUAGUAAUGACAAUUGUAGUAGUAAUUAAAAAUUAUAGUAUGUAGGAAUGGCAGCAGCCGUCCCCUCCCCUUUUCCCUCUAUCCCACAUCGAUUGUGAGUGUUGUAUGUGUACUACUUAACGUUUUCAGUGUAGUCUGAAAAUCAACAAACCUUUUGGAUUGGGCUGUGGGUUUCCCUUAGAUAGUGUGUAUGUGUUUGUGUUAUUUAUGGUUUGUUGGUGGAUAAGGAAAAUCUUGCGAGUGGUUAAAAGCCGUUGGUGAGCCUUUGACAAUAAUCGUGGUGUUUCCCCUCCCCCUUUCCCUCUAUCCCACACCGAUUGUGAGUGAUGUGUGUGUGUACUAUUUAAGGUUCUUAGUGUAACCUGAAAGUCAGCAUGCCUUUUGGGUUGAGAUGUGAGUUUUUCUUAAACAGUGUGUGUAUGUUAUUUAUGGUUGUCGGUAAGAAUGACAGCAGCAGUAGCAUCAGUUACUAACAGUAAUAAAUUUAGUUGUUCAAGGAAAAAAAAAUGAAUUUACCCUAUGGGCACCUGGUAGGGGUAACGGAGGUGAGGACGAGGCGGUGGCAGGGAAUGUUUCUCAACCCGUCCAACUACCCCGUUGCCAUCCCUAUGAGUAUUGUGCAUGGAGAAGUUGUCAAUAAUGAUGAUAAAGUUGACAAAUAAAGCCGGUACAAAACAUAUUAGUUCGGUAAAAAUGAAUCACUUUCUCACGUGAUUUGAUCAUAUUUUAUUAUUAACGUGAAAAUUAUGUUGAUAAAUAAUCUCUAAAAAAAAAAUUUCUACAAGUAACCUAUCAUCCCAAAAUAUGUUAUGACUUGUAGUGAUGAUCGGAAUCAAAUUCACUCAAACUCUUCGUAACAAUUACUUAAAAAAAAAGAAGAAGAAAAAAGGUAAAUGAAAAAGGAGAAGUGCAUCUGGGGCGGGGUUGCAUUGGGACAGGGCUACAGUUACCCAUCCAGGCAUCUACCCUAAUCAGAGUCUGUGCAAUGUGCUUUUGUCGGUGGGAUAUGACACCGAGUGUAUCGCUUGCUUCAAUGAUGUGUGAGUUGUACCAAAUCCAUUUAUUCACUUGGCAGACAAGUGUGUUGGUGAGCGUAGUUGCACACAUUUUCCUUUUAGCCUUUUGCUUGUGGACGAUAAUUGACAGCCCUUUGGCGGAUGCAAAGACAAGAAAAGGUUCUCUUUACUAAACGCAGAACAAAGAUAAAAAGGUGAUGCUUCUUUCCAAUAGACUUAUCCACCUGUAGCUUGCAAUCAUUAAGAAUUUGUUUUAAAUUCCCAUCACUGAGCUGGAUCUGGGUCCUCCUUAUCAAAAAAACUAAAGGAUUGAGACUCUUUGGAUAGCUAAAGUCAUGAAUUUUUUUAUGAAUUAAUCUCCUGUAUACUGACAACGUGGAUACUUUUUUAUUGAAUGCAUGACAUAUAAUUUAAAUUUGAAUUUAAAGUCUAAAUUUUGUAAACGUAUCAUACAUGCCGAUAAUAAAUAUACUGUCAAUGUAUAUUAAAUUUACUCUUUUUACAAUUAUAUAUUUCUCUCAUAUUGUUGUGCUCCUAAAUUGCCAAAUUACAUACUCCCUCUUAAUUAGUUGGUUAAGUGAUCACAAGAAGAAGAUCAGAUUAGCUGUUGAUUUAACAAAACCAGAGGCAAUUCAACAUCUAAACCACCAUGAGGAUUCUUUAGGUAGUUGUUUUGGUUUGCUUAUGCUUAAGAAUGGAUUUAAGUAUAUUUUAAAGAUUUUUGGAUGCUUUUUUUUUUUAAUGAAUUAAUCUUCUAUACAUUGAUAGUGUGUACACUUUUGCUAUUGUGGCAUGAUACAUAGUUCAAAUUUGAAUUUGAAACUUAAAUUUUAUAUAUAUGUCAUGUAUCCAAUCAUGAUAGUAUAUACACUGCCAGUGUAUAUAAGAUUUACUUUUUUUUAUAAUAUACAUGUUAUUUAUAUUUUCUUAUUUUGUAUUUUCAUUUAGAAAAUUUCUUAAAGGGCUUUUCAAUUUUGUGCAAAGCCAUGCUCUCAUUUGAGUUUUAUGCAAAUGGUAACCUUAAAAAAAAAAAAAAAAAAUCAUUUUUAUUGUAUUAUUCAAAUUUUGCAUAAUUGUCAUUUAUCCAUAUGAUAAUAGUGUAUAUAUUGUCAGUGUAGGAAAGAUUAAUCCUUAAUAUAUAGGAUCAAUCUUUUCCUACACUCAAUGUUAGAUGCAUGACAAUUAUGGCAAAUUUGAAUUUGAAAUUUAACUUUUGUACAUGUCUUAUGGAUCCAAUAGUGAUGUGUAUACACUGUUCCUGUAUAUAAGAUUUACUCAUAUACAUAAUCCUGUAUAUCUUUGGUUUCCAGUCUAAAUUUUUGCCGCUUUGGGGCAUACGAUCGAUCGUCAAGUGAGAGAGAAUAUUGCAAAGGUAUUUAUAGAACACUUCCAGCAGAACAAGCUCAAGUUAACUAUUAAAGCCAUCAUUAAGGAACACAACUACAAUUGAUAAGAAACACUGAUGAUAGGUCAAGAAAUACUGUGAAGCCAGUGAUCAAUUGAUAGACAAUUUAACACAAGAACACAUCAAGAUUUAAAGCGCCAUUUACAUAUACUGCAUUCUAAUACCACAUCUCGAUUGUCAGAGAGAGAAAAUUCCAGACACCAUCAUAUAAGUACAAUAUUUGCCACAUGAAAAACAUAAUACAAUUCCAAAAGACACUGACGAUUAAAGCAAAAAUCAACCAACACAUCAUUAGGAACAAGACAUCACCAUUAUCACUCUCACGAAUUAGCCUGAAUAAAUAUUGCAUCCUUUUGACCCGUUUUUCCUCUUUAGUUAGUAUGCAUUUUCUGCAUUUCAAGCACGCCAUUAGAACAUAGUGCCAAUUUAUAAAAUAGUGUAAUUAACAUCUUCACUAUGGUACAAAAUACCAUUGAUCCGACGUCAUUGCCUCCUAUUUGAAAUGGGAAGACGUGCCAUUUCUGUGCACAUAGUAAAAGGAAACGGAAAUCAGACAAUGUUUUAGUGGUCACAAUUCAAGUAUUCAGAACCUAAAUUAAGGAAAAUACAAGAAACAAUACCUUCAAGAUGAAACUUAGACAAAGAUGCCAAGAAAGACAAAACUUAUUGACAAGAAAGAACAAAAAUUCAGAAUUCGGAAACUGGCUUAAAUCAAAUAUGGCUUAUAUAGUGGCUGGUACGCCUAUCUUUGACCAUUCAGGUUUCAGAAUUCAUGAUACCAUUUGUAUAAGACUAGUUUGGAAUUUGACCAAGGUGAAUUAUUUUCCUCAAUUUAGUUGGUACCUUCUGAUUUGAACAAGAUUAGAUUCAUAAAAAACAUAUCAAGAUCAGAACUGGACUAAAUAAUAACAUGGAUACGGUAACAAAAACCCACCAAAAACUGAAAUGAGUUUCAGAAAAUUCACUACAAGAUGCAUUUCUGAAUGUUUUGAAUUUUGCUAACAAGAAGCAAAUAAAGUGAUGUUGAUCCUUGACCUUAAAGACAGAUAAAAGUUAAGACAAAUGAGUUAUAGAUGCAGAAGUUAUAUUUCCUUUGCAGAGAAGCAUUGUCAGUUUUACUCAACAAUUCAAGUAAACAACAUCUGAUGGUACCAAAUAAGCACCUGAAAGGAUUUCAAAUCAGACAAGAGGAGUGAUCAGUUUGGAUUUUCCUUGAACAAUGCACAAGUUCGUAAAACAACUUUAGAGCACUCCUCGUAAUUUAGCGAACUUAGCAAUGUACAAAAAAAAUAACAAGGUUUCAGUCACUUAAAGAGCAAAAAAGUAUAAUAGAAUACUGAACAUGUUCAGAUUUAAAAGCUACUUUGAACCAACUUUAUAAGGUCUACCAUAGCAACUACACUUUCUGAAUGUUUUAAAUUUUGCUAGCACAGUCAGUUUAAGGAAAAAGCUCAAAAAACUGGACUUUUAAGUAUGACAUAACCAAAAGUACACUGAAAAUAAGACUCAAACAAUUCAAGUAGAUUUCUAUCUUGUAUAGAGUGGGUAGAAGCAUAACUAUUGACCUUACAUAGAAAUCGAGCUUACACAGAAUCACCCUUACAUAGGGAAGACAGAGGGUCAUUGGGAAUGACAAGAACAUUAGCCAAAGACACACUAUGGAUUAACAAACGUUAUCUUAUAUGAAUUUAACUUUUCAAUGGUUUGUCAAGAUCAACAUGGCAAUGGAAAGAACUUGAAUUCUCACCAAGAUCACAUUAAUCAUACUUUGUGGUAUUCACGGACAGUAAAUAUCAAUACAUUAUCACUUCUAGUAGUUGUCACAAAGUGCAAAAAAUUCCUUUCCUUUGGCUUCAUCAAUGGUUUCUUCCCAGUUUUUCAGAAUCCUCAACACUUCAUAUGGGAAUAAAUUUAAAAUGUUACCUUCAAGAAACCAAAAUCAAACAAAAGCAACACUUCCUAGUCUAUAUAUUAAUCCAUUCCACUGAGCUUUUGUUUUUUCAUACUUUAUAUUUCC